GACGAACGCUGGCGGCGUGCUUAACACAUGCAAGUCGAACGGAAAGGCCCUGCUUUUGUGGGGUGCUCGAGUGGCGAACGGGUGAGUAACACGUGAGUAACCUGCCCUUGACUUUGGGAUAACUUCAGGAAACUGGGGCUAAUACCGGAUAGGAGCUCCUGCUGCAUGGUGGGGGUUGGAAAGUUUCGGCGGUUGGGGAUGGUCUCGCGGCUUAUCAGCUUGUUGGGGGGGUAGUGGCUUACCAAGGCUUUGACGGGUAGCCGGCCUGGGAGGGUGACCGGCCACAUUGGGACUGAGAUACGGCCCAGACUCCUACGGGAGGCAGCAGUGGAGAAUAUUGCACAAUGGGCGGAAGCCUGAUGCAGCAACGCCGCGUGCGGGAUGACGGCCUUCGGGUUGUAAACCGCUUUCGCCUGUGACGAAGCGUGAGUGACGGUAAUGGGUAAAGAAGCACCGGCUAACUACGUG
This 468-nucleotide ribosomal RNA is filed under the name uncultured bacterium. RNAcentral describes it as "partial 16S ribosomal RNA". It matches the Rfam family "Bacterial small subunit ribosomal RNA", at positions 28 to 507 of the family's 1533-position model. The record is from RNAcentral.